This 3156-nucleotide unclassified non-coding RNA is filed under the name Daphnia pulex (common water flea). Its description in RNAcentral is "alpha-(1,3)-fucosyltransferase C-like, transcript variant X1". Lineage: Eukaryota; Metazoa; Arthropoda; Branchiopoda; Diplostraca; Daphniidae. The record is from RNAcentral.
UCGGAGUACCGAACGAACGUCCUUCUAAUCCGCAAUGUAGCCAAGGACCAAAACCAAUUUUAUUGAGGAACCAAUCGUUUGAGGUAUACCAUUAUGAUGCCGAAAUCGCUCUUCUGGCGAAUUUCUUUUCUUUGCAAGACAAAUGCAGUUGGUUUUCUUCUUAUCUGGAUUUUAACGGCUUGCUGUUUCAUCUUAUUCCGCCUUUGGGUGGACUUCGGGAUAGGCGCAGGCGAUCGCACAAGUGAAUCAUCUCAUACACAGCCAAGAUUGCAACAAUUUCAUGGAGACAUGAAGCGGAUAUUAUUCUGGAAUGAAUAUUUCCAGUCGAAGAAUUACGAAUUCGGAUUGGGACACGAGCCUUUUGUCAAGGCUGGCUGCCAGUUUAGCAACUGCGUGACAACAGACGAUCGAAAACUUUUAAAUGUUAGUGACGCAGUUCUUUUUCACGCCAUGGAUUUCGACGAAUUAGAUUUCCCCAGUUUAGUCAUCCGCCGUUCGGAUCAGCGCUUCAUCUUCUACAAUUACGAGACGUGCGUCGGAGAAAAAGACAUGCCCGUUUUCGUUUGGACCAAGGACUUUUUCAACUGGACUAUGACUUACCGGCGUGACUCGGACAUUUAUGAUCCACAUCCGUACGGAUCAAUCCGGAGGCGAAGUGACGUUCUUCGGCCAUCGCUCGUUAUGCCAAGAGCUCUACACCCGGAAAUGACACCCGCUUAUCCGGCCGCUUUGAUUCAACCGUGGAACAAGUCGCGGUCGUUAGUGACUAAAAAAACCAAAAUGGUCGCCUGGUUUGUCUCCCACUGCCACACUGACGGCCUCAGAGAAGAAUAUUUUGGCCAACUUGGCAAAUAUGUUGGGAUUGACGUUUACGGCCGGUGUGGCAAGUUGAAUUGUUUGCCGUCGAGGAGUUCAAAGUGCGAUCAGCUGCUAGACAGCUACAAGUUUUACGUGGCAGCCGAGAACGCCAUCUGCACCGACUACGUCACAGAGAAAUUCUACCGGGCAUUGUCAUCCGACAUUGUGCCCAUCGUCUACGGUGGUGCCGAUUACUCCUCGUACGCUCCACCUUUAUCUUACAUUGACGUCAGCGAUUUCAAAUCUCCCAAAGAUUUAGCCGAUUAUUUAAAGUUGCUGGACGAAAACGACGGCCUCUACUUGAAAUAUUUUGACUGGAAAAAAGAUUACGAAGUAGUCAGUCGGCCUGUGACGGGUUGGUGCGAACUUUGCGAGAAGCUCAACGAUCCUCACCAGAGACCCAAAGUGUACAAAGACAUUAGCGAUUGGUGGUUUCAAAACGAUAUGGCUUGUGUUUCCGGGGGUAAUUUCCUUUCAGGCUCUCUUGGCGUUGAUCUUCGCCAACGUCCAUUGAAGUCAAUUUAAUACAUUCAGUCACAUAUGCUAUCCCAUUAAAGAAAAUCCACAUAGGAAAAUCCUACCCAUUCCUUCCGAGCUCAUUCUCGCGCUCGUACUUGCUCUAGUGCCGAUCGAUAUGGUACGAAGAUGGCGCCAGGGGCAGCAUAUAGCCGACGGGAGUAGCGGCAGCGGUGUACAGCCGAAGGGAGGAGGUACACCAUGAGCGCCAUAGCCAGCAUAUGCGAAACCGGGACUCCGGGAGCAGCGGCGUAGGAAAGUCCAUUGAAUCCGACACAAGGCAAGACUGAGGAGCAGCGGCGACGGCAGCCACCAAAACAGCCAAAAUCAUCUACAAGGAAACAAACAACAGACAAAUGAUUUCAAUUUCAGUAGAAACGGCCAAGUCGAUUUAAUUCAAUCUGGCAACCGAGAGUAAGGGAAUGGGGAAACAAAACGAAAGCCAGUAGCAGACGACGCACCUUGCUCACUCUCGCUGCUAACGACUGCAGGGUUAAGAGCUCUCCCCACUUUAACGGUCUGGUGGAUGGCGACUCAUCAUUAAUCUAAAACACAAACACCAAUACAAUCUUGGCCUUCAGCCACAUAUACUACAACCACAAACCAUUAACCACAAAAUGGAAGCUGGUGACGCUAGGCGUAGGCGCGCGGCACAAUUUCGUGUGCUUUUGCUGCUUCUCUUUUUUCAUAAUCCAGUCUCAACUUAAGUGCUUCGUUUUCCUUGAUCAAAAUUUCUAUUAAUUCGUAAUUUGACUUUAACUUCUCUCUUAUUUCUUUCAAUUGCUUUUGCAGAGCAGCAAUUAACUUCAUUGACUGUUUGUGUGUGUACUGCAUUACUUGACUGUCAUCAUACGUCAAAUCGUCUGUCAAAAGAAUUAUGCCUUGAUCCUAGAAAAUACAAGUUAAAAAAUUAAGUUAGUAGUUUAAAAAUCUUCGGUUUGGUUUGCCUAUAAUAACAAAAUAUAGGCCUUUAAAACACUAUUAAUAAUAUUCGAUUAAUAAGAUGAUACUUGCUGUUGAAAACCUGUAAAUGUAUGGACAUUUUUUUCACUCAAAAUAACCUUCUUGUGCUCUGUGCCAAAAAAUUGUACGAGGUACUUCUUUUUUGUAAUUCCAAGAAUCUAAAUGGUAGAAAAUAAAAUGUAACAAUCAGAUAAAAAAUCGCAAUAAAUUUCAACUACUUUGACAGGCCAGGGUGAAAAUUGUUGCGCUGUUGUAAAGAUAUGUGAGUUGUAUCAAACAUCUCCAGUCAAUCAAUCAUUCCCCUCCAAUCGCAACACAUACCUGCUGUCGAAUAGCUCUAAAUGGCUUGAAAUUUGUUUGAAUUCAAAACAAUCUUGUCGUGUUUCGUGCCAAAAAAUUGAACAUGGUAGUUUUUUUUAUUAUGCCUAGAACCCUCAAUGUUCUUUUUGCAAAUUCGUGUUUUUUCCUGUGAACACAAUGUGAUUCCCAGGGAAAGUUUUCUAGAUCGUUACGAACAAUCACUAUUACCAUGUAGAAUUAUCAGGGAUAAUUCCCUACCAGAUUUCUCUGGGCGGUUCUUUCGUCGGUGAUCAGGAGUCUUGGAUCUUGGUGCUAUCUUGCAAGCGACUCGAAUGUCUUUCCUCUUGGGUGUCCCCUCCGUUAUGAUCUUAAUGCGCAGCGCCUCAAGGUCAGACUCUGUGGCCGUGCUUGCUGAUGGGACCGGCUGGGAUGUACUGGAGUCGGUGUUCAAUUUCUUGGGGAGUGAUUUCCCUUUCGUGGGUUUCUCUUUCGGCGGAGUGAUCCGUGUUAGGACCGGGC